Molecule: long non-coding RNA, 468 nt
Organism: Neopelma chrysocephalum (saffron-crested tyrant-manakin)
Lineage: Eukaryota; Metazoa; Chordata; Aves; Passeriformes; Pipridae
Exons: 3
Source: RefSeq, a predicted model, not a curated record
GCGACUGUCUUGUUGUUGCUGCGCCGCAACAGCCGCAGUUCCCCGUUCCCUCUCACCCUACCCUGUUCCCCGCGCCUGAGCUCCUUCAGGCAGCGACACUCGAGCGAUUCCUCGGAGAGAUUGUCUCUCCAAAAAGUCGGUCUCGCAGUUCGUUGAAAGGCAGAGACUGACCGAGGGCUCUUCACCAACUGAGCCCUUCCACAGAAUUGUCUUUGAAGAUCUCUCGUGUCCUUUAUUGGAAGGCAAAAGUACUGUGUCUGGUUCUGAGACCUUCACUGCAGUAAAGAUUCUCCCUCCCUGGACUUGGUCCAGGGAGGGGGAACACAGCUGCUGCAGAGUCUAGAGGUGAGCUGAGACACAGUCACUGGUACGACUCAUCCACCCCCAACAUCCUUCAGAAUGGAUUCUGGAUUCCCGAGGAGAGAGGUGCUGGCUCGUCCUCUGAGGCCAAGAGAGGCUGAGAAGCCC